CGAGACUCAGUGAAAUUGAACUCGCUGUGAAGAUGCAGUGUACCCGCGGCAAGACGGAAAGACCCCGUGAACCUUUACUAUAGCUUGACACUGAACAUUGAGCCUUGAUGUGUAGGAUAGGUGGGAGGCUUUGAAGUGUGGACGCCAGUCUGCAUGGAGCCGGCCUUGAAAUACCACCCUUUAAUGUUUGAUGUUCUAACGUGGACCCGUGAUCCGGGUUGCGGACAGUGUCUGGUGGGUAGUUUGACUGGGGCGGUCUCCUCCUAAAGAGUAACGGAGGAGCACGAAGGUUGGCUAAUCCUGGUCGGACAUCAGGAGGUUAGUGCAAUGGCAUAAGCCAGCUUGACUGCGAGCGUGACGGCGCGAGCAGGUGCGAAAGCAGGUCAUAGUGAUCCGGUGGUUCUGAAUGGAAGGGCCAUCGCUCAACGGAUAAAAGGUACUCCGGGGAUAACAGGCUGAUACCGCCCAAGAGUUCAUAUCGACGGCGGUGUUUGGCACCUCGAUGUCGGCUCAUCACAUCCUGGGGCUGAAGUAGGUCCCAAGGGUAUGGCUGUUCGCCAUUUAAAGUGGUACGCGAGCUGGGUUUAGAACGUCGUGAGACAGUUCGGUCCCUAUCUGCCGUGGGCGCUGGAGAACUGAGGGGGGCUGCUCCUAGUACGAGAGGACCGGAGUGGACGCAUCACUGGUGUUCGGGUUGUCAUGCCAAUGGCACUGCCCGGUAGCUAAAUGCGGAAGAGAUAAGUGCUGAAAGCAUCUAAGCACGAAACUUGCCCCGA
Molecule: ribosomal RNA, 776 nt
Filed under: Salmonella enterica
Lineage: Bacteria; Pseudomonadati; Pseudomonadota; Gammaproteobacteria; Enterobacterales; Enterobacteriaceae
Also listed under: 1 other name
Description: partial 23S ribosomal RNA
Rfam family: Bacterial large subunit ribosomal RNA
Source: RNAcentral